UGGGGAAUAUUGGACAAUGGGCGCAAGCCUGAUCCAGCCAUGCCGCGUGAGUGAUGAAGGCCCUAGGGUUGUAAAGCUCUUUCACCGGUGAAGAUAAUGACGGUAACCGGAGAAGAAGCCCCGGCUAACUUCGUGCCAGCAGCCGCGGUAAUACGAAGGGGGCUAGCGUUGUUCGGAUUUACUGGGCGUAAAGCGCACGUAGGCGGACUAUUAAGUCAGGGGUGAAAUCCCGGGGCUCAACCCCGGAACUGCCUUUGAUACUGGUAGUCUUGAGUUCGAGAUAGGUGAGUGGAAUUCCGAGUGUAGAGGUGAAAUUCGUAGAUAUUCGGGGGAACACCAGUGGCGAAGGCGGCUCACUGGCUCGAUACUGACGCUGAGGUGCGAAAGCGUGGGGAGCAAACAGG
This 404-nucleotide ribosomal RNA is filed under the name Actinomycetes bacterium. RNAcentral describes it as "Actinobacteria bacterium partial 16S ribosomal RNA". It matches the Rfam family "Bacterial small subunit ribosomal RNA", at positions 355 to 776 of the family's 1533-position model. Lineage: Bacteria; Bacillati; Actinomycetota; Actinomycetes. The record is from RNAcentral.